Molecule: long non-coding RNA, 1070 nt
Filed under: Felis catus (domestic cat)
Lineage: Eukaryota; Metazoa; Chordata; Mammalia; Carnivora; Felidae
Description: lncRNA (ENSFCAG00000050354.1)
Source: RNAcentral
GAAUAAUAAAGAAAUAGCAUUAUUUUAAAUAGACUUGAAAAGACGAUUUUUUUUUUUCCCUCCUGGGAAUUGAGUGGGCCUUCUGCUGCAGCUACAGUUUGAUUUGCUUUGCUUUGUUUUAUUUAUAUAGGCAUUAAUUUUCAGUGUCAGAGGACCGGACUUGCAGCCCCAAAUAUGGCUGUUAAAAGAGGGAUGUGUCUGACACAGAAUCCGCUUAGCAAAUGUUCCUGUUUUUAAAGUAACCUUCAAGAAGCGUUUUCUAACCUUUGUCCUGAAUGCGGGGACAGAGCACUAUAGUUUUUCUGAAUCCAGAACGCAGACCCAUUACUGAUUUCUCAUGUUGGCAGAACGUUAGAACGGCAAAAAGAAACAUGCCAAUAAUUUAAUCCAGGAGUUGUGUCAAAGAAAAAUUGCACUGGACAGUUACACAGGCAAGGCAGACUUUAUUCAAGAGACUGUGAGCUCAACUGGUUUAAAAGAAAAGGUGGGAGGGCUUCUUGGUGCUGGGUGAGCUAGUGGAAAUGUACUGGAGGACAGUGGGGUGGAGUGAGUCAAUGGAUUACACUAUCUGUGUUUCCUAAUUGGCAUUUAUUGAAGUUAGAUUCCUACCUUACCAGACCCUGGGAGACAGGGGUAAUGUCUCCUUCAAUAAUUACAUUUCAAAGGGAUGACUCCAGCUCCUUGAGAAAGACAUCCCUGGGUUGCAAAGCUGGGUAAAAAAGCUGGGAGAAGACCUGUCUACACUUUACUUUUUAUUUUUUUUUAAUGUUUAUUUCUUUCUUUUGAGACAGAGAGAGAGAGAGAGAGAGAGAGCACAAGCGGGAGCGGGAUGGAGAGAGAGGGAGAGAGAGAAUCUCAAGCAGGCUCCACACUGUCAGUGCAGAGCCUGAAGUGGGGCUUGAUCCCAUGAACCCUGAGAUGAUGACCUGAGCCAAAACCAAGAGUUGGACGUUUAACCAACUGAGCCACCCAGGUGGGUCGGGACAGGUCCUAUCUCUCCAUACUUUAAAAAGGCAGAGCAAAAAUACACAAUUAUGUUUUCUUAAGUAAAUGCUCUAAGAAAAGGGAGG